Long non-coding RNA from Leopardus geoffroyi (Geoffroy's cat), 152 nucleotides. RefSeq lists it as uncharacterized. The transcript is spliced from 3 exons. The record is from RefSeq and is a predicted model, not a curated record. Lineage: Eukaryota; Metazoa; Chordata; Mammalia; Carnivora; Felidae.
UUUUACUGAUGAAGAGAUAAAGAAAUGGUUUAUAUACACAAUGGAAUAUUAUUCAGCCAUAAAAAGAAUGAAAUUUUGCUAUUUGCAAAGACAUGGCUGGAGCUAGGGAGUAUGAUGCUACGUGAAAUAAGUCAGAGAAAGGUAAGUACAAU